AUACGUAGGGGGCAAGCGUUGUCCGGAAUGAUUGGGCGUAAAGGGAGCGUAGGCGGCCCGGUAAGUCUGAAGUGAAAGUCCUGGUUUUAAGUUGGGAAUUGCUUUGGAUACUGUCGGGCUUGAGUGCAGGAGAGGUAAGUUGAAUUCCCAGUGUAGCGGUGAAAUGCGUAGAGAUUGGGAGGAACACCAGUGGCGAAGGCGACUUACUGGACUGUAACUGACGCUGAGGCGCGAAAGUGUGGGGAGCUAACAGGAUUAGAUACCCUGGUAGUCCACACUGUAAACGAUGAAUGCUAGGUGUAGGGGGUAUCGACCCCUUCUGUGCCGCAGUCAACACAAUAAGCAUUCCGCCUGGGGAGUACGGCCGCAAGGUUGAAACUUAAAGGAAUUGACGGGG
RNAcentral lists this ribosomal RNA (397 nucleotides) under uncultured bacterium. RNAcentral describes it as "partial 16S ribosomal RNA". It matches the Rfam family "Bacterial small subunit ribosomal RNA", at positions 523 to 918 of the family's 1533-position model. The record is from RNAcentral.